GACGAACGCUGGCGGCGUGCUUAACACAUGCAAGUCGAACGGAAAGGCCCUGCUUUUGUGGGGUGCUCGAGUGGCGAACGUGUGAGUAACACGUGAGUAACCUGCCCUUUACUUUGGGAUAACUUCAGGAAACUUGGGCUAAUACCGGAUAGGAGCUCCUGCUGCAUGGUGGGGGUUGGAAAUUUUCGGCGGUUGGGGAUGGACUCGCGGCUUAUCAGCUUUUUGGUGGGGUAGUGGCUUACCAAGGCUUUGACGGGUAGCCGGCCUGUGAGGGUGACAGGCAAAAUAGGAACAGAGAUACGGCCCAGAGGGAAACGGGAGGAAGGAGUGGGGAAUAUAGAAAAAAGGGCGGAAGCCUGAUGCAGAAACGCCGGGUGCGGGAUGACGGCCUUCGGGUUGUAAACCGCUUUCGCCUGUGACGAAGCGUGAGUGACGGAAAUGGGGAAAGAAGCACCGGCUAACUACGU
This 467-nucleotide ribosomal RNA is filed under the name uncultured bacterium. RNAcentral describes it as "partial 16S ribosomal RNA". It matches the Rfam family "Bacterial small subunit ribosomal RNA", at positions 28 to 506 of the family's 1533-position model. The record is from RNAcentral.